GACGAACGCUGGCGGCGUGCUUAACACAUGCCAGUCGAACGGAAAGGCCCUGCUUUUGUGGGGUGCUCGAGUGGCGAACGGGUGAGUAACACGUGAGUAACCUGCCCUUGACUUUGGGAUAACUUCAGGAAACUGGGGCUAAUACCGGAUAGGAGCUCCUGCUGCAUGGUGGGGGUUGGAAAGUUUCGGCGGUUGGGGAUGGACUCGCGGCUUAUCAGCUUGUUGGUGGGGUAGUGGCUUACCAAGGCUUUGACGGGUAGCCGGCCUGAGAGGGUGACCGGCCACCUUGGGACUGCGAUACGGCCCAGAGUCCUACGGGAGGCAGCAGUGGGGAAUAUUGCACAAUGGGCGGAAGCCUGAUGCAGCAACGCCGCGUGCGGGAUGACGGCCUUCGGGUUGUAAACCGCUUUCGCCUGUGACGAAGCGUGAGUGACGGUAAUGGGUAAAGAAGCACCGGCUAACUACGUG
This 468-nucleotide ribosomal RNA is filed under the name uncultured bacterium. Its description in RNAcentral is "partial 16S ribosomal RNA". It matches the Rfam family "Bacterial small subunit ribosomal RNA", at positions 28 to 507 of the family's 1533-position model. The record is from RNAcentral.